Molecule: long non-coding RNA, 344 nt
Filed under: Mustela putorius furo (domestic ferret)
Lineage: Eukaryota; Metazoa; Chordata; Mammalia; Carnivora; Mustelidae
Description: lncRNA (ENSMPUG00000028236.1)
Source: RNAcentral
AGCUUGGUCUGGCAGCUGCAGAACCCAUAUGGCGGCAAGCUUCUGACUCCUGCAGCUGCUGGCGGCGUGCUUCCCCAGGCUCCGGACUAUGAACUUCAUCCAAAAUCCUCCUUGUUUCCAUAGCAACUGGGACAGCCACGGGUCCCGGCGUUUCGGAAAACGAGAGAGUGGAGUUUGAAAGAAAUGAAACAAUAAACAAUGCAUGGUAAAAUGUGAGUCUUCAAGGAACUAGACAAACAAAGACACUUGGAAAUUCACUCGGCAUGGAAUCCAUCAGUAUGCAUUGGCAGGAGAAUGUCAACCGGGAAGAGCUUGAGUUAGUUUCAGAUAAAUAUCAAAAGUAU